GAUGAAGAACGUAGUGAAAUGCGACAAGUAAUGUGAAUUGCAGAAUUCAGUGAAUCAUCGAAUCUUUGAACGCACAUUGCGCCCCUUGGUAUUCCGAGGGGCAUGCCUGUUCGAGCGUCAUUAUAACCCCUCAAGCUCAGCUUGGUGUUGGGGCCUGCUGCACUGGCAGCCCUUAAAAUCAGUGGCGGCGCCAUCUGGCUCUAAGCGUAGUAAUUCUUCUCGCUAUGGAGUCCUGGUGGAUGCUUGCCAUCAACCCCCAAUUUUUCUAUGGUUGACCUCGGAUCAGGUAGGGAUACCCGCUGAACUUAAGCAUAUCAAUAAGCGGAGGA
Molecule: unclassified non-coding RNA, 329 nt
Filed under: soil metagenome
Description: partial contains 5.8S ribosomal RNA, internal transcribed spacer 2, and large subunit ribosomal RNA
Rfam family: 5.8S ribosomal RNA (bases 1-120)
Source: RNAcentral